RNAcentral lists this ribosomal RNA (519 nucleotides) under Amathia vidovici. RNAcentral describes it as "partial 16S ribosomal RNA". It matches the Rfam family "Bacterial large subunit ribosomal RNA", at positions 1797 to 2607 of the family's 2925-position model. The record is from RNAcentral. Lineage: Eukaryota; Metazoa; Bryozoa; Gymnolaemata; Ctenostomatida; Vesiculariidae.
CGACUGUUUACCAAAAACAUAGCUUCUAGAAAUAAUUAGAAGUAAAAUCCUGCCCGGUGAAAGCAAUUUUAAACGGCCACAAUCGUGCUAAGGUAGCGUAAUCAAUUGUCCUUUUACUGAGGACUAGUAUGAAAGGAAAAACGAAGCUCAACUGUCUCUAUUAAAAAAAUAGAAAUUAGUUUUUAGAUGAAAAAAUCUAAAUAAAAUUAAAGGACGAAAAGACCCUAUAGAGUUUAAAUAUAAUUAUACUAUUCACAAAUUAAACAAAACGAAUAGAGUAAAUAUUUUAAUUGGGGCAACAUAGGAACAAGAAAUUUCCUUAUAGUAAACAUUUAACAUCAUAAAAAUAAAAAUCCUCAAAGAGAUAAAGAAAAACUACCUUAGGGAUAACAGCGUAAUUUUUCUAAAGAGACCUAAUCGAAAGAAAAGUUUGCGACCUCGAUGUUGGACUAAGGCAUCAAAAUGGUGAAGAAACUAUUAAAAGUAGGCCUGUUCGGCCUAAUAGCCUUACAUGAUUUG